CUAGGGCGGCAGCAGUGGGGAAUAUUGGACAAUGGGCGAAAGCCUGAUCCAGCCAUGCCGCGUGUGUGAAGAAGGCCUUCGGGUUGUAAAGCACUUUCAGUGGGGAAGAAAGCCUUGGGGCUAAUACCCUCGAGGAAGGACAUCACCCACAGAAGAAGCACCGGCUAACUCCGUGCCAGCAGCCGCGGUAAUACGGAGGGUGCGAGCGUUAAUCGGAAUUACUGGGCGUAAAGCGCGCGUAGGCGGUCUGAUAAGCCGGUUGUGAAAGCCCCGGGCUCAACCUGGGAACGGCAUCCGGAACUGUCAGGCUAGAGUGCAGGAGAGGAAGGUAGAAUUCCCGGUGUAGCGGUGAAAUGCGUAGAGAUCGGGAGGAAUACCAGUGGAGAAGGCGGCCUUCUGGACUGACACUGACGCUGAGGUGCGAAAGCGUGGGUAGCAAACAGGAUUAGAUACCCGAGUAGUC
Molecule: ribosomal RNA, 463 nt
Filed under: Vreelandella stevensii
Lineage: Bacteria; Pseudomonadati; Pseudomonadota; Gammaproteobacteria; Oceanospirillales; Halomonadaceae
Description: partial 16S ribosomal RNA
Rfam family: Bacterial small subunit ribosomal RNA
Source: RNAcentral